GACGAACGCUGGCGGCGUGCCUAAUACAUGCAAGUUGAGCGCUGAAGGUUGGUACUUGUACCGACUGGAUGAGCAGCGAACGGGUGAGUAACGCGUGGGGAAUCUGCCUUUGAGCGGGGGACAACAUUUGGAAACGAAUGCUAAUACCGCAUAAAAACUUUAAACACAAGUUUUAAGUUUGAAAGAUGCAAUUGCAUCACUCAAAGAUGAUCCCGCGUUGUAUUAGCUAGUUGGUGAGGUAAAGGCUCACCAAGGCGAUGAUACAUAGCCGACCUGAGAGGGUGAUCGGCCACAUUGGGACUGAGACACGGCCCAAACUCCUACGGGAGGCAGCAGUAGGGAAUCUUCGGCAAUGGACGAAAGUCUGACCGAGCAACGCCGCGUGAGUGAAGAAGGGUGUCGGAUCGUAAAACUCUGUUGGUAGAGAAGAACGUUGGUGAGAGUGGAAAGCUCAUCAAGUGACGGUGACUACCCAGAAAGGGACGGCUAACUACGUG
This 497-nucleotide ribosomal RNA is filed under the name uncultured bacterium. Its description in RNAcentral is "partial 16S ribosomal RNA". It matches the Rfam family "Bacterial small subunit ribosomal RNA", at positions 28 to 507 of the family's 1533-position model. The record is from RNAcentral.